This 119-nucleotide ribosomal RNA is filed under the name Pteropus alecto (black flying fox). The record is from RNAcentral. Lineage: Eukaryota; Metazoa; Chordata; Mammalia; Chiroptera; Pteropodidae.
GUCUACGACCAUGCUACCCUGAGCAAGGCUGAUCCCGUCUGAUCUCAGAAGCUAAACAGGGUCGGGCCUGGUUAGUACUUGAAUGGUAAACCACCUAGGAAGACCGGGUGCUGUAGGUG